AAUAAACCUCAUUAUCUAUGUUGUUCAGGUUUAUGCAAAAAUGUGGUCUUUCAUCGUCAUAUUUUUCUCAAGUCAACCAAUGAAAGACCACAUUUUUGCAUAAACCUGAACAAAAACAUAGAUAGUGAGGU
Molecule: non-coding RNA, 131 nt
Organism: Paramuricea clavata
Lineage: Eukaryota; Metazoa; Cnidaria; Anthozoa; Malacalcyonacea; Plexauridae
Source: the annotation of a GenBank genome assembly